This 400-nucleotide ribosomal RNA is filed under the name phytoplankton environmental sample. RNAcentral's name for it is "partial small subunit ribosomal RNA". It matches the Rfam family "Eukaryotic small subunit ribosomal RNA", at positions 587 to 989 of the family's 1831-position model. The record is from RNAcentral.
AGCUCCAAUAGCGUAUACUAAAGUUGUUGCGGUUAAAAAGCUCGUAGUUGGAUCUCGGGCUUGAACUUGCGGUCCACUUCACAGUGGCUACUGCUUGUUCGGGCCUACCUGCCGGUCUUCCGUCGAUGCUCUUCAUUGCGUGUCGGCGCGAAUCCGGUACGUUUACUUUGAAAAAAUUAGAGUGUUCAAAGCAGGCAGUCUUGUCUGAAUAAUGUUGCAUGGAAUAAUAGAAUAGGACCUCGGUUCUAUUUUGUUGGUUUUCGGAGCUUGAGGUAAUGAUUAAGAGGGACGGACGGGGGCAUUCGUAUUGCACCGUUAGAGGUGAAAUUCUUGGAUCGGUGCAAGACGAACAACUGCGAAAGCAUUUGCCAAGAAUGUCUUCAUUAAUCAAGAACGAAAG